RNAcentral lists this ribosomal RNA (406 nucleotides) under uncultured bacterium. RNAcentral's name for it is "partial 16S ribosomal RNA". It matches the Rfam family "Bacterial small subunit ribosomal RNA", at positions 30 to 527 of the family's 1533-position model. The record is from RNAcentral.
AUUGAACGCUGGCGGCAGGCCUAACACAUGCAAGUCGAACGAGUGGCGGACGUGUGAGUAAUGUCUGGGAAACUGCCUGAUGGCGGGGGAUAACUACUGGAACCGGUAGCUAAUACCGCAUACCAUCGGAUGUGCCCCGAUGGGAUUAGCUAGUAGGUGGGGUAAAGGCGCACCUAGGCGACGAUCCCUAGCUGGUCUGAGAGGAUGACCAGCCACACUGGAACUGAGACACGGUCCAGACUACUCCGGGAGGCAGCAGUGGGGAAUAGUGCACAAUGGGCGCAAGACUGAUGCAGCCAGGCCGCGUGUAUGAAGAAGGCCGUCGGGUUGUAAAGUACUUUCAGCGGUGAGGCGUUACCCGAAGAAGAAGCACCGGCUAACUCCGUGCCAGCAGCCGCGGUAAUUG